This is a long non-coding RNA of Cryptotermes secundus, 1263 nucleotides long. RefSeq lists it as uncharacterized. The transcript has 3 exons. NCBI's taxonomy places the organism in Eukaryota, Metazoa, Arthropoda, Insecta, Blattodea, Kalotermitidae. The record is from RefSeq and is a predicted model, not a curated record.
CUCAGUGAGUUGCCCGGUCAUGUUAGUGUGCUCAGCACGGCCCGAUACUUACAGUCGUACUAGGUUCUGUCGGAAAUAUACUAAUUGAUGGGUAGGACGUAUUAACUUUAAAAUGCAAAAAUCGCUAUUAUAUUUUAUUUUCGGUUUUCACGGUGGUAAAUUAUUGGUGCAAAUUGUGUUCUUGGGUUGUUCCAUUGUAUUACUGACGACGUUGCCCACGUUUCGGAGGUACAUGCUGCCUCCAUCUUCAGAUAUUACGAACCUCCAAAGACGACCACAAGCACAUAUGUGGACUUGCUGACGGAAGUUGUGCUGCAUGUGAGACUCUGGAGAGAACUGUUCACGUACCUGGUUCCGCAAUUAACAGAAAUGGCGUCUCCCAGAGAGAAGAGCUUUUGCGUAAUGGAGUACAAGAAAGCAAAUUCAUGAACCAGUGUUCAGCGGACGUUCAGGAAACGAUUUCGUAUGGAUCCACUUCCUCGAGCAUCGAUACAGACGUGGUGUGACAACUUUGAAAACUAGAGAUGCAUUUGUAGGAAGAAAAGCAGUGGCCGUCCUCGUGUGCGUGAUGAGGCUGUGCGGUAGGUGGAAGUGCAAGGAAACCUGUGCGGGAGGGAAACCUGAGUUAGAGACUCUCGAAAACGACCGUGUGUCCAGUUAUGCGCAGAUGGGUGUGCAUGAAACCUUACAGUGCCACGCUACCAAACUUUGGACUGGGAGAGCUGGAGUUGCAGAUGAAGUGGCCUCCCCGCUCUCCCGAUCUCACUUCAUGUGACUUCUUUCUGUGGGGUUAUGUAAAGGAACAAGUGUUUGUGCCACCUUUACCACUGGAUAUUGAUGAAUUGAAGCCGAGAAUUACUGCAGCUGUCGAAACAUUUGACAGGAACAUGUUAGGAGAAUGAGAUGAGCUGGAUUACAGACUGGACAUUUGGAGAGUCACAAAUGGAGCUCACAUUGAGCACCUUCAGGGUGUCUAAAACUUUCGGAGUUUGUCGCUCAAAUGGUACUAGUAGUAAUACUUACCUUUGUAUAACAAAUUGAAAUUGUAUCAAUCACCUGCUGAGACCCUGUACUGGUAAUUUACUCUUCAUGUUUUGAAAGAGGAAGAUUGUGUUGAAUGGAAAUAGACAUUCCCGGAUAUCAAUCUGAUCUCUCUUUCGUAUGUGUGUGUGUGAAUGAGAGAGGGGGGAGGAGAAUAUAAUUGUUUUCUUGCAGCAGAGAAAUACAACGACAACAUCGACAUGUGUGGUAGUGGCAUCAAAA